GCCGUUCCAAGAUGCUGUCAAAAUUAAAUCAAUAUGGCUACUGGAAGGCAAACAUUGAAUAUUAUUCUAUCAGGUUCUUAUGGUUUUAGAUCAUUUUAGUUGUUGUACAAAGAUUAAUUUAACAUUUUCUCUGGAAGUAUUAAUUUAGAAAGAUAAUAUGCCUCAUUGGUGUUGUGUUUUGAAGUGUGAAAUGCAAAGUAAUCGUGAUAAAGUUAGCUUUUACCACUUACCAUCAGUGCUACAUUCUAAGCACAAAACUGAACCAAUUUAACUAAAUAAGUUAUAGUUAUCAUCUGAGAGACAACAACAAUGGUAAAAUGCAAUAAAAUAUAAAGAUUUUACUAGCAAAAUGGAAAUUCCCCUGUAAUCAUCUUAUAUCUGGAAAACCAGCCGACUUAACUGAUAAUAACAAUCCAGAUUGGGUUCCUUCAAUAAAUAUGGGGUAUAUAAACACAAUGAAAUGAGUUCCCCAAAAUCUAAAAUGGGAAUUAAGGUACCAAAGGAGAAUUAAAAGAAAAGGGUACCUACAAGAAAAAAUUGCUUUUUUAUUCCUCUUGAAAUGAUUUAUAAGACACUGGACUGUCUUAUAUUCUACAAAUACUAGAAUCAGCUGAGAGAAGUGGUCUACAAAAACCCAGGAAGGAAACGGAAUAUGUGGCUACGAAAGGCAAAAGAAAGGUUUACAAAGCAAAUGUGACACAUUUUUUUGAAAUAUUUAGGAAUAUCAGUAAAUUGCAUUAAAAAAAUGUAUGAAAAGAUUUUGUUCAAUAAAAAUGUUUAUAUUUA
Diabrotica virgifera virgifera (western corn rootworm) is the source of this 786-nucleotide long non-coding RNA. RefSeq lists it as uncharacterized. The record is from RefSeq and is a predicted model, not a curated record. The transcript is spliced from 3 exons. Lineage: Eukaryota; Metazoa; Arthropoda; Insecta; Coleoptera; Chrysomelidae.